CUAUCUCAAGCCCAUGACUACACCCAAUUCCCAUGAAAUUCCAAUCCAAUUUUAAAUCCAAAUACCAAAAGAUUUGGUUCCAAACAGAGCGAGCUUCCAGUCUCAUUAUAUCCCACGAUCUGUUCUCCACUUGCGUUCCCAGUUUCAUUCGCCUACGAAACGGCGCCAAACCUAGCCGCCGCACCAGUCUGACACUCCUCGGCGAUCACCCACCGAUAUCGGUUCUCAUCUAUUUUCUCUCUCCAUAUCUCAACGACGACCGGCAUCCUCCACCAACAAUCCGAAAGAUGGCUCGAAACGAAGAGAAAGCUCAGUCGAUGCUCAAUCGAUUCAUCACCAUGAAGAACGAAGAGAAGAAGAAGCCCAAAGAACGCCGCCCCUUCUUGGCCUCAGAGUGCCGAGACCUUGCCGAGGCCGACAAGUGGCGUCAGCAGAUCAUGCGCGAGAUCGGCCGCAAAGUCGCCGAAAUCCAGAACGAGGGUUUGGGCGAACACCGCCUCCGAGACCUCAACGACGAGAUUAACAAACUCAUCCGCGAAAAGAGUCACUGGGAGCGCCGAAUUGUCGAGCUCGGUGGCCCUAAUUACUCCAAACAGUCUGCCAAGAUGACCGAUUUGGAAGGCAACAUCGUCGACGUUCCAAACCCUAGCGGCCGUGGACCGGGGUAUCGGUACUUUGGUGCGGCGAAGAAGUUGCCCGGAGUGAGGGAAUUGUUCGACAAGCCACCGGAGUUGAGGAAGAGGAGGACGAGGUAUGAUAUAUAUAAGCGGAUUGAUGCGAGUUAUUAUGGGUAUAGGGAUGAUGAGGAUGGGAUAUUGGUGAAGCUGGAGGGGCCGGCGGAGGAGAGGAUGAGGGCGGCAGUGGUGGCGGAGUGGAUGGCAGUGGAGGAGGUGAAGAGGGAGGCGAAGAGGGCGGUGAAGAGUGGGGAGGAGGCGAGUGUGAAUGUGAAUGCGGCGGAUAUAUUGCGUGAGGGGGAGGAGGAUGUGGUGGAGGAGGAGAGGAUGGCGAAGGAGAUUGAGGAGAGGGAGAAGGAGAGCGAGUUUGUGGUGCACGUGCCGUUGCCGGACCAGAAGGAGAUUGAGAGGAUGGUGGUUGAGAAGAAGAAGAUGGAGCUUUUGAGCAAGUAUGCAAGUGAGGAUCUCUUGGAGGAGCAGGUUGAAGCCAAAGCUAUGCUCAAUAUUCAGAGGUAGAGAUAGUGGAAAGAAAUCUAGUCUCGUUGGCUUGAUCAUUGCAUUGCUUGCUUGUCUGGACUAGGCUCAAGAUGAAUAUUGAUUGGGAAAGGAAGAUUGGAUGGUGAUGUGACCGCACUUAAACCCAAUGAAGCAGGGUUUGGAUGGUUAAUAGCUGUUUUCCACGAAUCUAUUCUCAAGUUAUAUAAUUUUUGGUAUCAUCCAAGCAUUGCAGUCCCACAGUGGAAUGCUCCUGCAUGAAAAAAUCUGUGCAAGUUAAAACUUCUGGGGGAAAAACAAUUCAUAAUUUUUAUUUUAUUUUAUCUUAUCAUGCUUUUGGUGAAUCUUUGGAGUAAAAGAAAGAACAAUGACCUUUCUGGAUCGUAUAUAAACAUCUGGAAAAGCUCAUAGGAAAGAUCUCAAUUGAGAAGUCGGAUGGACUUGGUCAUUCUGCUUAUGUACAUGGUGUAGGGUUGUCAUGUUGGAUGUAUUCACAUCUCAUAUCAUGGUAAUUUGUUUGAUUAUCAUUGCUUUACACUUUAAAGGAGAUAGGGCAUGCACUAUUGUUAUGGUUGGUUCAUGAUCUUUUGUGCUUGAUUUCUGAUUUCAAUUCUUCAAUUGUCAUCUUGGUGCUGAAAAAAUGGGGCAGGUAAUUGCUAAAUUUUAUCGACAAGGUUCUUGGUGUUAUAUAUGUAGUUAGUAUUCUUGUAAACUAGUAAUUUUUAGUUUCAUUUAGACCCAAUACAUAAUUGCUAUAAGUUGAAAUGAUC
RNA transcript from Cornus florida, 1939 nucleotides. RefSeq lists it as uncharacterized. The record is from RefSeq and is a predicted model, not a curated record. Lineage: Eukaryota; Viridiplantae; Streptophyta; Magnoliopsida; Cornales; Cornaceae. The transcript is spliced from 3 exons.